CCCUUAGACGUUCUGGGCCGCACGCGCGCUACACUGACCGGUGCAACAAGCAUCCGUCCUUGGCCGACAGGCCCGGGCAAUCUUUGAACGCCGGUCGUGAUGGGGAUAGACUUUUGCAAUUUUUGGUCUUCAACGAGGAAUUCCUAGUAAACGCAAGUCAUCAACUUGCAUUGAUUACGUCCCUGCCCUUUGUACACACCGCCCGUCGCACCUACCGAUUGAAUGGUCCGGUGAAAUCUCGGGACGGCGGCUUGGUCGCUUGCGUCCGACUGCUGAAACUUGAUUAAACCAUAUCAUUUAGAGGAAGGUGAAGUCGUAACA
This 321-nucleotide ribosomal RNA is filed under the name uncultured eukaryote. Its description in RNAcentral is "partial 18S ribosomal RNA". It matches the Rfam family "Eukaryotic small subunit ribosomal RNA", at positions 1470 to 1796 of the family's 1831-position model. The record is from RNAcentral.